This 209-nucleotide ribosomal RNA is filed under the name uncultured bacterium. RNAcentral describes it as "partial 16S ribosomal RNA". It matches the Rfam family "Bacterial small subunit ribosomal RNA", at positions 568 to 775 of the family's 1533-position model. The record is from RNAcentral.
CUCGUAGGUGGCCAACUAAGUCAGACGUGAAAUCCCUCGGCUUAACCGGGGAACUGCGUCUGAUACUGGAUGGCUUGAGUUCGGGAGAGGGAUGCGGAAUUCCAGGUGUAGCGGUGAAAUGCGUAGAUAUCUGGAGGAACACCGGUGGCGAAGGCGGCAUCCUGGACCGACACUGACGCUGAGGAGCGAAAGCCAGGGGGAGCAAACGG